RNAcentral lists this ribosomal RNA (498 nucleotides) under uncultured bacterium. RNAcentral's name for it is "partial 16S ribosomal RNA". It matches the Rfam family "Bacterial small subunit ribosomal RNA", at positions 28 to 507 of the family's 1533-position model. The record is from RNAcentral.
GACGAACGCUGGCGGCGUGCCUAAUACAUGCAAGUCGAGCGGACGGAUGGGAGCUUGCUCCCAGACCGUCAGCGGCGGACGGGUGAGUAACACGUGGGCAACCUGCCUGUAAGACUGGGAUAACUCCGGGAAACCGGGGCUAAUACCGGAUAACUCUUUCCCUCACAUGAGGGAAAGCUGAAAGAUGGCAUCUCGCUAUCACUUACAGAUGGGCCCGCGGCGCAUUAGCUAGUUGGUGAGGUAACGGCUCACCAAGGCGACGAUGCGUAGCCGACCUGAGGGGGUGAUCGGCCACACGGGGACUGAGACACGGCCCAGACUCCUACGGGAGGCAGCAGUAGGGAAUCUUCCGCAAUGGACGAAAGUCUGACGGAGCAACGCCGCGUGAGUGAUGAAGGUGUUCGGAUCGUAAAACUCUGUUGUCAGGGAAGAACAAGUACCGGAGUAACUGCCGGUACCUUGACGGUACCUGACCAGAAAGCCACGGCUAACUACGUG